RNAcentral lists this unclassified non-coding RNA (475 nucleotides) under Hevea brasiliensis (rubber tree). Lineage: Eukaryota; Viridiplantae; Streptophyta; Magnoliopsida; Malpighiales; Euphorbiaceae. The record is from RNAcentral.
AAUAAAGAAACUAAUUCUCUAUGCAACAAACAAUGUGAAAGAGCACUUUAUAAUUAUUUUAUAGGCUUACUUCCUAAUAUUUCAUUCUGAAAGGCACCUAACAAGGCAGCUGUAUUAAACAUAUGAAAGAAAAAAUUAUAGCAACACUAAACUUUAUUGAUAUUACAAAGAAAAGUGUUUCCCAAUGUUCUCUCCAAAAAGUUGAAAGGACAAGCAAUGAGAAAUUGCAACUUUGAAAUUGGAUGGUCUAAUAGUAAUCACAAGCACUUAAUUUAUAAGCAAACAUAUAACAACAAUUGGUUUUUGCAGUGUUGGAACAGAACAAACAAUUUAGCCAACUUACUAAGAAUCAAAAAGUUCAUACAGUUAAAAGGCAUAGUCAAUUAGUGAUGAGACUAAAAAUCCACAUUUUCACAAGGUACUAAUUACUAAAAAUAGAUAUAUUUUUUUAGCUUUAAAAAAAAAAAGAACCUCA